Molecule: non-coding RNA, 71 nt
Organism: Phrynosoma platyrhinos (Desert horned lizard)
Lineage: Eukaryota; Metazoa; Chordata; Lepidosauria; Squamata; Phrynosomatidae
Source: the annotation of a GenBank genome assembly
GCCAAAGUGGCAUAGUAGUUGGAGCACUGGACUGCAACUUUAGAAACCAGGGUUCAAAUCUCCGCUUGGCU